Molecule: ribosomal RNA, 376 nt
Filed under: uncultured bacterium
Lineage: Bacteria
Description: bacterial SSU rRNA
Rfam family: Bacterial small subunit ribosomal RNA
Source: RNAcentral
UAAUACGGAGGGAGCUAGCGUUGUUCGGAAUUACUGGGCGUAAAGCGUACGUAGGCGGUUAUUCAAGUCAGAGGUGAAAGCCUGGAGCUCAACUCCAGAACUGCCUUUGAAACUAGAUAGCUAGAAUCUUGGAGAGGUUAGUGGAAUUCCGAGUGUAGAGGUGAAAUUCGUAGAUAUUCGGAAGAACACCAGUGGCGAAGGCGACUAACUGGACAAGUAUUGACGCUGAGGUACGAAAGCGUGGGGAGCAAACAGGAUUAGAUACCCUGGUAGUCCACGCCGUAAACGAUGAUAACUAGCUGUUCGGGCUCUACGAGCUUGAGUGGCGCAGCUAACGCAUUAAGUUAUCCGCCUGGGGAGUACGGUCGCAAGAUUA